This 499-nucleotide ribosomal RNA is filed under the name uncultured Enterococcus sp. RNAcentral's name for it is "bacterial SSU rRNA". It matches the Rfam family "Bacterial small subunit ribosomal RNA", at positions 33 to 507 of the family's 1533-position model. The record is from RNAcentral. Lineage: Bacteria; Bacillati; Bacillota; Bacilli; Lactobacillales; Enterococcaceae.
ACACGCUGGCGGCGUGCCUAAUACAUGCAAGUUGAACGCUUCUUCUUAUCGAACUCGGUUCACCAGAAAGAAGAGUAGCGAACGGGUGAGUAACACGUGGGUAACCUGCCCAUCAGCGGGGGAUAACACUUGGAAACAGGUGCUAAUACCGCAUAAUACUUUUUCUCUCAUGAGUGAAAGUUGAAAGGCGCUUUUGCGUCACUGAUGGAUGGACCCGCGGUGCAUUAGCUAGUUGGUAGGGUAACGGCCUACCAAGGCAACGAUGCAUAGCCGACCUGAGAGGGUGAUCGGCCACACUGGGACUGAGACACGGCCCAGACUCCUACGGGAGGCAGCAGUAGGGAAUCUUCGGCAAUGGACGAAAGUCUGACCGAGCAACGCCGCGUGAGUGAAGAAGGUUUUCGGAUCGUAAAACUCUGUUGUUAGAGAAGAACAAGGAUGAGAAGAGAAUGUUCAUCCCUUGACGGUAUCUAACCAGAAAGCCACGGCUAACUACGUG